AUGGGGAUGGGAACAGCUCAGCCCCUGACCCCAGCCCUGACUCUGGGCCUCAUAUUGGGACCCUUGGAGUUCAUCAGCCUCCGCCCAGGUGGGUCCCGCCCCUUUUUCCAGCUGGCCACGCCCACUUUGAGGCCCUCGACCAAUCAGGUUUCCCAACCCCAUGUCCCCCUUGUCCCCGCAGGGCUCCAGGCGGCCGUGACCCUGCUGGAGUGCGGGGGGGACCUCCAGCCCCCCGGGGGGUCCCUGCGCCUCCUCUGCCGAGGGGCCGGGUUCAGUUUUGGCAGUUUUAGCAUGCAAUGGAUCCGCCAGAGACCCGGGCAGGGGCUGGAGUGGCUCGCGGGGAUCUACAGCGGUGGUUCAGGCACCGCGUACGCGUCGUCGGUCAAGGGCAGGUUCACGAUCUCCAGGGACAACGGGCAGAGCUCGGUGACGCUGACCAUGACCGACCUCCGGGACGAGGAUUCCGGAUCCUAUUUCUGUGCCAGAUGUUACACCAGUGCUUGUGGUUAUGAUGCUGCUGCUUAUGUUGUUGGUGGUGGUUGAGAUCCCAAGCCCAUU
This is a non-coding RNA of Haemorhous mexicanus (house finch), 558 nucleotides long. The record is from the annotation of a RefSeq genome assembly. NCBI's taxonomy places the organism in Eukaryota, Metazoa, Chordata, Aves, Passeriformes, Fringillidae.